GCCCAGUCUGGAUUAAGGCGUCGAACCGCUUUGAGAAAGCAGUGCGCAAGCCUCCGGAGCCGAAGAUCCGGGGUUCAAAUCCCCGCGGGCCC
This 92-nucleotide transfer RNA is filed under the name Candidatus Bathyarchaeota archaeon BA2. Its description in RNAcentral is "tRNA-Leu". The record is from RNAcentral. Lineage: Archaea; Thermoproteati; Candidatus Bathyarchaeota.